UACGGAGGGUGCAAGCGUUGUUCGGAAUUAUUGGGCGUAAAGGGCGCGUAGGCGGUAAUGUAAGUCAGAUGUGAAAUACUUCGGCUCAACUGAAGAACUGCAUCUGAAACUACAUAACUAGAGUACAGAAGAGGGAAACGGAAUUCCCGGUGUAGAGGUGAAAUUCGUAGAUAUCGGGAGGAACACCAGUGGCGAAGGCGGUUUCCUGGUCUGAUACUGACGCUGAGGCGCGAAAGUGUGGGGAGCAAACAGG
RNAcentral lists this ribosomal RNA (253 nucleotides) under uncultured bacterium. RNAcentral's name for it is "partial 16S ribosomal RNA". It matches the Rfam family "Bacterial small subunit ribosomal RNA", at positions 524 to 776 of the family's 1533-position model. The record is from RNAcentral.